Molecule: ribosomal RNA, 551 nt
Filed under: Kwoniella pini
Lineage: Eukaryota; Fungi; Basidiomycota; Tremellomycetes; Tremellales; Cryptococcaceae
Description: eukaryotic LSU rRNA
Rfam family: Eukaryotic large subunit ribosomal RNA
Source: RNAcentral
CUCAAAUUUGAAAUCUGGCGUCCUCAGGGCGUCCGAGUUGUAAUCUAUAGAGGCGUUUUCCGCGCCGGACCGUGUAUAAGUCUCCUGGAACGGAGUAUCAAAGAGGGUGACAAUCCCGUGCUUUACACGACGACCGGUGCUAUGUGAUACGUCUUCUACGAGUCGAGUUGUUUGGGAAUGCAGCUCAAAACGGGUGGUAAACUCCAUCUAAAGCUAAAUAUUGGUGGGAGACCGAUAGCGAACAAGUACCGUGAGGGAAAGAUGAAAAGCACUUUGGAAAGAGAGUUAAACAGUAUGUGAAAUUGUUGAAAGGGAAACGAUUGAAGUCAGUCGUGUCCAUUGGGUUCAGCCGGUCCUGCCGGUCUACUCCCUUUGGACGGGUCAACAUCAGUUCUGACCGGUGGAUAAUGGCACGAGGAACGUAGCACCCUCCGGGGUGUGUUAUAGCCUCGCGUCGCAUACACUGGUCGGGACUGAGGAACGCAGCUCGCCCUCACGGGCCGGGGUUCGCCCACGUCCGAGCUUAGGAUGUUGACAUAAUGGCUUUAAAC